GGCUACGCUGGGCGGCGUGGUCUUAGCCAUGCAAGUCGAGCGGACUUAUGGGGUAACUUAUAAGUCAGCGGCGGACGGCGGAGUAACACGUAGCUAACCUACCCUCUGGACGGGGAUAACCUACCGAAAGGUGGGCUAAUACCCGAUGUAGUCAUCCUGUAUAGGGGUGAUGAAAGGUGGGCUUCUGUUUACAAGCUCAUGCUGGAGGAGGGGGCUGCGGCCUAUCAGGUAGUUGGUAGGGUAAUAGCCUACCAAGCCGAUGACGGGUAGCCGGCCUGAGAGGGUGACCGGCCCGAGGGGCACUGAGAUACGGGUCCCACUCCUACGGGAGGCAGCAGGCUAGAAAUUUGGGCAAUGGGGGAAACCCUGACCCAGUGACGCCGCGUGCAGGAAGGAGCCCUUCGGGGUGUAAACUGCUGUCGUGUAGGGAGAAGGGUACUAAGGUGAACAAUCUUAGUACUUGACGGUACUACAGGAGGAAGCCCAGGCUAACCUCGUG
This 499-nucleotide ribosomal RNA is filed under the name uncultured bacterium. Its description in RNAcentral is "bacterial SSU rRNA". It matches the Rfam family "Bacterial small subunit ribosomal RNA", at positions 38 to 507 of the family's 1533-position model. The record is from RNAcentral.